Molecule: ribosomal RNA, 963 nt
Filed under: Spirochaetaceae bacterium
Lineage: Bacteria; Pseudomonadati; Spirochaetota; Spirochaetia; Spirochaetales; Spirochaetaceae
Description: bacterial SSU rRNA
Rfam family: Bacterial small subunit ribosomal RNA
Source: RNAcentral
UACCAUAUAAUGGAGAGUUUGAUCCUGGCUCAGAACGAACGCUGGCGGCGCGUUUUAAGCAUGCAAGUCGAGCGGCAAGCAGUCUUCGGACUGCCUAGAGCGGCGAACGGGUGAGUAACACGUAGGUGAUCUGUCCUGAGGUUGGGGAUAGCCUGUGGAAACACAGGGUAAUACCGAAUACGUCCUGACUGCUGUGGCAGUGAGGGCAAAGGCCCUUCGGGGUCGCCAUGGGGUGAGCCUGCGGCUCAUUAGCUAGUUGGUAGGGUAAAGGCCUACCAAGGCGACGAUGAGUAGCCGGCCUGAGAGGGUGAACGGCCACACUGGGACUGAGAUACGGCCCAGACUCCUACGGGAGGCAGCAGCUAAGAAUCUUCCGCAAUGGGCGAAAGCCUGACGGAGCGACGCCGCGUGGGUGAUGAAGGCCUAACGGUUGUAAAGCCCUUUUCUGUGUGAGGAAUAAUGCUGGGAGGCAAUGCCCGGCAGAUGACGGUAGCACAGGAAUAAGCCCCGGCCAAUUACGUGCCAGCAGCCGCGGUAACACGUAUGGGGCGAGCGUUGUUCGGAAUUAUUGGGCGUAAAGGGCGCGUAGGCGGCCACGUAAGCCUGGUGUGUAAGACCGCAGCUCAACUGCGGGAGCGCGCUGGGAACUGCGUGGCUGGAGUUCAGGAGGGGAAGUUGGAAUUCCUGGUGUAGGGGUGAAAUCUGUAGAUAUCAGGAAGAACACCGGCGGCGAAGGCGAACUUCUGGCCUUGAACUGACGCUGAGGCGCGAAAGCGUGGGGAGCAAACAGGAUUAGAUACCCUGGUAGUCCACGCUGUAAACGAUGUGCACUAGGUGUUGGGCCGCUGAAGGUCCAGUGCCGUAGCUAACGCGUUAAGUGCACCGCCUGGGGAGUAUGCUCGCAAGGGUGAAACUCAAAGGAAUUGACGGGGGCCCGCACAAGCGGUGGAGCAUGUGGUUUAA